RNAcentral lists this long non-coding RNA (705 nucleotides) under Equus caballus (horse). RNAcentral describes it as "lncRNA (ENSECAG00000041132.2)". Lineage: Eukaryota; Metazoa; Chordata; Mammalia; Perissodactyla; Equidae. The record is from RNAcentral.
CUUUGCAAGUUUCAAUAGGGAAUGGCACAAGAAUGAAAAUAGAAAUGCCUGAGCUGCCAAAAUGCAAGCCUGGAUCUCAUAGGACACUGCAUUAGGUGCCAAAAGACUCCUCCGGGGAUUGGCUUGCCACGCUCCACAUCCUCACACUCUGCUGGGAUUGCAACUGUCUGCCCGGCCCCAGCUGGUGGCCCUGCACUGGGAAGGAGUCAGACAUUUCCUGAGUGCUAAUAUGUGCUGAGGCCUGCCCUGAUGCAAGGGAUACAGAAAUGAACAAAACAUAGUUCCAGUCUUUUCAGAGCUUUUAAUAGCACAGUUUUUCAUCUGGAUUCCAGAACCCCUAUCUAUACAUGUGGCUUCAAUGGGGAAGAUUGCUCAGUCCUUAUGCCAUCCUCUGGGUCUUGAUAUGUUUGCUUGACUGUACCUUGGCCCACCAGGUCCCUGGGUGUCCUGAAAUGGUCUGUGCGGAAUUGAGACUGUCACAUGGGCCAUUUGAGCAUCACUUUGGCGCUCUUGCAGAUGCAUGGCCUCCAGGUGCAAGGUGGUACAAUCACUUCAUCACUAUCAAAGGCCUCCUGUGUUCCUCCCAGCACUUCUAUGUCAUCUACUACUUAGAGAUCUUGGAAUUCACAGUUGCAUUCUCUGCAUCAUUCUGAUGUGCUAGAUCCAAUGAAGUUGUCAAGCCCAAUUGCCUAGGCCACCUGCCUU